CACGGCCCGCCCCGGCACCGCUCAGGAACCGCCUCGGCACCGCCCCAGGACCGCUCAGGGCCCGCCCCGGACCCGCCCCUGCCCGGCACGGUCGCGGCCGGGCUGUGCUGUGCCGGCUCCGAGCGGGGAUCCGUCACUGCCCCGUGUCGCGGUCCAAGCACCCGAACCCGUCAUGCGAGGGCCCACAGGCAGUGGCGGUGCUGCUGCUGAGCCAUGGAUCGCUGUCCGGGCAGAGAAGCUGCACCCGCAGCGCUCCUCCGCAUCCCCGCUGGAGUGGCGGAUUUCUGAGCUGUGUUCUGCGGGUUUUGUGUAUUCCUCUUGCAGAAACAAACAGGUCCUGUGCUGCUGAGAGAUGGCUUUAGAGGUGUUAACAUCCAGCUGCGUGUCUGACAUAGGCACAUGGAUAUGUGGGACUGUUACAUCUCAGACUGCUUCUGUGUAUUAAGGCUAGGAAUAGUCUUGGUUUUCUGCUGUUGGAAACCUUUUCUUGGCUCCUACAGAGCAAUCGUGUGUACGUUCAGUGAGACAAGAUGUGUCAGUCCUGGUGCAGUGGGAACCAGACAAGCUGCACAGAACUAAUAUCCACCAGCAGAGAUGAAAAAGAGGGGAGAAUGAUGCUGCAGAGGAAGAUGAGCACCUCAGAAUGGGGAAAAAAAUUGAGAAGAAAACUGGCACUACCUGCAGGUAGUUUUUUCCUCUGAUCUGAUGCUAAGCAGUAGAGAAGGAAUUUUCAUGUUUCUGUAAAGAAUAUUGCAAGGAUAAAUGGCCAUUGAAUACUGAAAAUUCUGUGAGGCAGAAAUAGGAUUUUAGUCUGGUUUUAAUUUUUUUUCUCCCCUAACAAGUAAACUUCUUAAUUUAAUUUAGUCAAGGGAGAAAAUGAUAUGAAACACUGUUAAAACACAAAGGAUGGCAACAUGUAAAGAACCUAAAUAUUUUACCCUUACUUUAAAUAUUUCACUGAUUCACAUAAUCCUUCCAGAACUACUGGAAGUUUUCUGCUCUGUUUAAAGAAUGGGUAAAAUACUGAAUGACCAGGGCAAUGCACUAUUUUUGUUUCAUAGGAAGAUUGCUGGCCCUUCAGUCUAUACCCAUCAGGGACUGAAGUCUGCAGAAUUUAAAUAGUGAGAUCACACAGGACUGCUGGGAUACAGCACUGGGGCUUUAAAUAGUGUGGUUGUAACCUCUGCUCAAGGGAUUUGGACACACUAAACCUGAGAACUAAUUUUAUUCCCAUUUUAUUAUAUUAUUGAUAUAUUAGAUUUAUAUUUAUGAUAUAAAUAUAUCAGCCUAAGCCCAAGAAAAACACAUAGUAAAUAGGAUAAUUGACUCCAAAACAGGGAGUCUCAGCCAGCUUGAGGGAUUUAUUGAAAAGUUAUUCUGCUUCCAGAGGUGUUGGAUGCCUUAGGAUAUGGGGAGUGUUUCAUCCACCUCUGGGGAAUCUCAGUAAAUCAAGGACAGUAUUUGAAGGGCCUGGGGUAUAUCUCAUCCUCCAAAGGCAGUUUUGGGUAGGAACCAGAGUAGAAAUGCAGGUGUUGGAGGAAAGCAGGAGAUGUCUGAGCUGACCAACUACAGCACAACAAGAAACAUCAACAACAGAGAGCAGAAUGGCCAGAAUAAAAUACAAACAUAUAUAGAUGCAGCUCCCCAAAGAUGCACAAACAACUCUUUCACACUCUGUUUGGCACCUGUUACCUCUUCCAUGUUUGUUUCCAGUUUUUUCUCUUGGUGGC
This is a long non-coding RNA of Parus major (Great Tit), 1730 nucleotides long. RefSeq lists it as uncharacterized. Lineage: Eukaryota; Metazoa; Chordata; Aves; Passeriformes; Paridae. The transcript has 5 exons. The record is from RefSeq and is a predicted model, not a curated record.